Oncorhynchus mykiss (rainbow trout) is the source of this 1775-nucleotide long non-coding RNA. The record is from Ensembl. Lineage: Eukaryota; Metazoa; Chordata; Actinopteri; Salmoniformes; Salmonidae.
UUGAAGCUCCCUUCGUCGGCCAUACUGGAAGGAGAUGUGUCCUGGACUCCUAACAAUAACAGUGUGUUUGAUUACCUAGUGAGAGGCAAAGUAGGAAUCAACCGGCAGGAGUGUCAGUUUUCUGUUCAUCUGAAUGGCUCAUCAGACAGAAUUGGUCUGUAUUCCUCGCUCACACAUCCCUUCCAAUCCAAGAUCCUUAAAACAUUGGAGGUGGGUUGCUAAUGUGCUUUUUCAAAGGUUGACAAUUGAAUCCCUUAACUGACGAGGAAUAUAACAUUUAAAAAAAACAUGUUGCUUUUUUGUUUUUUGGUCAGCGUAUCUCGUGGUUUCUAAUGGGUUUAGUAACUUUACUCUUUUGUAUUCUCCAGGCCCGGCUCACUGCAUACACUUCUAUGGUGGACGGCAGAGUGAGCAGCUCUCUCUGUGUGAGGGCUGAUGGGAAGGACAGAGCCCUGCUGGAGGCCCAGCUCUCCCACUCCCUACAGAGAGACACCAGAGCCCUGAGUCUACAUCUGACCCUGCUCCAGACUUUACUACCUACUACAGCCACGCAGCUGCACCUCAACAUGUCUGCCAACAUGUCCUCAGAUAGGUGAGUGCAUUCUCACUAAAUCAAAUCAAAUGUUAUUGGCCACAUACACAUGGUUAACAGAUGUUACUGCAGGUAACAUCGGAGCUUGUGCUUCUAGCUCCGCCAGUGCAGUAAUAUCUAACAAUAUAUACCCAAUACACACAAAUCUAAGUAUAGGAAUGGAAUUAAGAAUAUUUAAAUACUAGUCUAUCAAGUAGCUACAUACAGUGUGUACUUAGGACAGGUCUGUCUGUCUUAGCCACAGUUUUGCUGUAUCCCUCCCCAUGCGUUCUCACUCUGUAUCCUAAUUGUAAUCGUUCAUAGUACCUCCAUACCUUCUCAUCUCUCCCUGUCUAUCUCCUUCCAGACUCUCCAUGCAUGGUGCCUAUGACCAGGGAGGGGAGGUCCUGCAGGCCCAGGUGGCUGGCUCAUUGGAGCACUCCCCUGGUUCCCCGUGGCUCCGGAUGGCUGUCAACGGCGGCCUGAGGCACUCCUUACCCAGCCUCACUGCUCUGCCUCCUGCCCUGAGUCUGGAAGGAGCCCUGGGGCAGUCAGACUGGCUCACUGAAGGGCAGCUGAGAGUGACAGUGAGUAAGGCUGUGUACAGUGUGGAGCUGAGUCAUCAACAGGACCAAGGAGACACCUGGGAGGAAGAGGAUGGCAUGCUGGGGAAAGAGCCUGACGCGGCCAGUGAUUGGUUGUGUGCUCGGGCAGGGGAGGAGUCUCUGUGUGUGAAUGUGAGCCGCCGAUUGGGCAGUCAGCCGAGGGGUGGGGUCAACGCACAGCUCGCUCACUCCUCCAGCUGGCUCCACACUGCAGGUAUACCAGGUAACAGCAGUGCCCAGGUGAGCUGGACCCAGGAGGAGGGGAGGCUCUCAGUGCUGGCAGAACUACAGACCGGAGCUCAUGGCCUGAAGGCUGAGUUUGAGAGGGCCAGGACUGGCGGGGCCUCACCACGAUGGGAGCUCCAAACCAGGGUACAGCACCAAAGCAAGGCCCUGGUCCAAAGAGGCCUGCCUAGCUCCAUCCAGGCUACAGGGCACUAUCAGGUGCAGCUUCAUCCUCUUCUUCCUCAUCCUUUCUCUUCUUUCUCGCUACUCUAUUGUUGUUAAGAAUGCUGCGUUGAACUUGAUUUUGGACAUACUCCUGGAGAUAACCUAUCAAGAUAUCGAAGAAGAUGUAUCAACGAUGCUUCAAGCUAAGG